Molecule: long non-coding RNA, 1056 nt
Organism: Felis catus (domestic cat)
Lineage: Eukaryota; Metazoa; Chordata; Mammalia; Carnivora; Felidae
Exons: 2
Source: RefSeq, a predicted model, not a curated record
AGUAACAUCACAUGAUUUUUUAGGUAAUUCCUUCAAAUUUUCAGGGAAAGAAAAUUCUCCAGGCUGAGUCAUAAUUUCAAAACAUAAAGGCAAAAAGCUACCCAGUUCAUCUUACGAAGCUGACGUAAUCGGAAAAAAAAUCCGACCACAUAGCAUAAAAAAUUAACUCUGUGAACAGAGAUGAAAACAUUCUCAAAUAAAAUUCUAAUAAAUCCAAUUCAGUAUAGUAGUAAAAUAAUAAUCCAUUCUGAGCAACUAGAUUUUAUGAUAAGAAAAUGAAAAUGGUUUACUAUAGCUAUACCACGAUUUUAGCAGAUGCUGGAAAUGAGCUUCAGAAAAUUCCGUACUUAUUCUUGAAUAGAAGUUCUAAAUAAGCUAGUUCUAGAACGAUAAAACUUAAACAAAGAGUAGGCAUCAUGUAUAACAAUGAGAGACUUCAGACAGUCCAGAAAAUACAGAGCAAGUCUAGGUUGGUGGUUAUUACUUCUGGUAGUACUACAGUUCUGGAAGUCCAGCCAUAUGUGGUGAAGCAUGGACAGACUGCAGUGGCCAAUGAGCUAUAUAAAUCAUCAUCAUCGGGUGGCUUCUAGAAAAGACCUGAGAGAGAACACUUUGAACUUGAGCUUGGACGUUUUAUUACACUAAGGAUGGCAGAGCAAAAAGACAAAAGGAGCCAUUUUUGAAGAUGUCAUGGGCUCUCACACCAACCCCAGCCUGCUUAUCAUCAAACUUCUCUUAUGUAACAGAACAGAUAGAUGUUUUAACAUACUAUAGCAAUCUCUCUACUUAGCAUUUCCGAAGAGAUACAUAUACCAAUACAGAUUAUGAAUCUCAAAAGAGGCAGAUCUAGAAUGCCCCCUUUGGAAGCAAGAUCAAUGAUGAGCAUUUUGUUAGCAUAUGUGUAGUUCCCAAAAAGUAGUUUGGGGAAUGCUGGUCUAAUUUAAUUGACAGAUACUGCUUGGAUGUUUUCUUUCAGGGGGAAAAUUUAUCAGCCAGAAACUGUCAGUUUCCUUCAUGCUAUAGAGAGAGUCUAUUUAAAGUAUUACAAUCCAUUGA